GUACAAGAGCAUGGGAUUAGCAACCGUGCAAACAAGAGAGCACAUGGUGAGGAUGAAGGUAAUCAAGGAGAUGAAUAGAACGGGAGUGGAGGCGAUGCGCACAAGGGUCGGCAUGAAGAAUAAUAUCAUCCGAAACCUCCCCAAGAAUGUCCCAUAUUAGUCCUAGACUUUGAUUUCUUGUUGAAUCAGCAGUUUAAGUGAACUUUUAAAUUUAAACAAAAAAGAAAAAAAAUUCUCAGAUAUGGUAUGGUUUUCAGUGUAAGCGCUUAUUAUUAAUUUUAUUAUGACUGUCUGGUCUACAGAUUUGUUAGUAAAACAUUGACAUGCUUCAGUUGUUUCAUGAAAGAAUUUUCAGUUUGUUUCUUCUGGCCAUCCUCCAUUGGCCCUUUCUCUUUACUUGUUAGAAUGAUUCAUUACGAUCGAGACUUUGUAGACCUCUAUUGUCUUGAGGAUGGUUAUGCUAAAUUCUCCUUUAGCUUGGUUUGCCACGGUUGAUGUUGCACGUACACUGGAGCUCCGUUUCUAUUUCUUGGAAACCGGUCAGGCAUUGUUGGAUAUUUACAUUACAUUAUACCUAUGCUUUGCCCAUUUUGAAAUGACAUUUACCGCUCUCUGUCAUUGUCCACGAAUCUUCUUGGUUACGCAAGUGUUCACCUAGUCUUCACAGAACCUUCAUCUUUUCUCAUUCUUUGUUCUCAUCUCUGAGACUCCGACCAUCUCUUCCUCUGCUAUUAUAUUUUUGCUGUAGACACUGUAAAUUUGAAAGGGUAACUUUUAAUUUAUCCCAUAUUCUAUGUAGAAUCACAAUUUUUAAUUUUUCUCUCAAAAGUACAAAAAUAUAAAUUUACCUUGAUUACUGUUUGGAAGAUGAAAAAAUAAUUCAACUUGCCCUUAUUUGCCAUGUUCUGAAUAAAAUAGAUGAUAAACUUAAGAUUGUCAUUAUAUUUAUGGAUUGAAUUGAAGUUUACCCAAAUUGAAAAUUUGUUUUGUUUUUCUAUGUUUUUAGUGUAAUGAGUGUCAUGCAACAGUACAUGAACCACCAGAGCUGCCAUAAAUCUUUGCUAGUUCUUGUAUCUUACUGAAUGUAUUCAUUUUCAUCAUCAUCAAAAAGAUUCUUAAAAGUUAAAAUAUAGCUCAAUGCAGCAUAGAAUCCAAAUUCAACAAAGAAGAUCCCAUUGUUGAAUGAUAAAAUAGUCAGGAGGUUUAAGUUUCACAAAUUUGAAACCCAAAUUCAGUGGCGAAGUCAGGAUUUUAAUUUGGGGAUUAUCAAAAUAUAUUGCAAGUUCGUAUUUAAAGAAGAUUGGGGGUUGUCUUGAAAAAUAAGUUAGGGGACAGUUUAAAAACUUCUUAAUCUUUACCUUAUUUCUUAAAAAAUUUUAAAAGCUUGGUGGUUGCCUUGGCAACCCUAGGCGUGAACAUAGUUCCACCCCUGCCUAAAAUCCUGCAUCAGUCAGUAGUAGUAGGCGGCCUCCAGUGUUCGUAGCCUGUGGUUGAUAGAAAAUAAACCUGGUUGAAGAAAGAGUCAUCUUUUCUUUUGUCACAUUCUUGUACAAUCUUUUCUUAUGUCACGAUAACAUAAAGAGAGAAUGGUAAGAAAUAACCUGAGACUCAGACCAUGAUAAAACUAACUAUUUUAAUAGAAAGUUCUGUCUGUUGACUCUCUCAUGUUGUCACGCAUCUCAUCACUCAGAAAAUUAUUAAUUGCUUAUUUCCCUUUCUUCUUUGGCACUUCAUAUUUCUAAUUUGUUUUGCAACCACAAAAACGAAAUAAAUUGGGAUACCUACAUCUUAUGCGUGCUGACUUUGAAUGAUUCAUAACAAAAGAUGAUCAAGACACCUAUUAUUAUUAAUAAUUUUUCGAAUGUCAUUAAUUUUCCACCAUAUGUCAUUCUCGAUGAAGCUUAUUGGUUAUUCAUUUCCUCUGUGCCUUGGCUGAAACUUCAUGUGCAUUAUUUCAUACAACUUUAGCGGGACAUACUGAUCACCAAGUUGUGAAGAACCCAAGAACAAGUCUUUGGGUAGAAGCAAAAACGCAAUCAAAGUUUAAGUAAUAAAAUGUCAAUGUGAUGUAUAUCUCAUCAAAUUAAUCGGUUGUUAAAUGUAUACCAUCUACAAGUAGUUGACUGAAAAUUUAUUGUUUUAAAUUUCGAAUGUUAGAUUAUAUAAGAUAUAAAAACUAAAUGCCUAAUUAUUCUAGUAUAAUAUAUGCACAUUUCUUUUGACAAUUUGGCAAUUUGUAUUAUAAAGAUAAAAUAGUUAAAUUAAAUUAUGUUAAAUUAACCUCAACGAUCAAAGAUGAUCAACAAACCUAACAAAGGAAUGACUUAAUUGAUUAAUUAUUUAAACUAUCUCUCUAUUAUAAUUUUUUUUAAAAAGAACAAAAUUAUGUAAUUUUGUUUCUCUAUUAGUGACUAACUAAGAAAAUUUAUUUAACUAAACACAUAUACCACAAUUAUAUAAAUUUAAACUCUAUUUGUGUAUCAUAAUAGAUUUCACAGUAAACUCGAUUUAAGAUAACUUCAAUCACAUGACCAAGUCUUAAUUAUGCAUGUUGACUCUGGUAAAAUUAAUGAAGAUGACUUGAUACCAAUAAGCGCGUAGAUCAACUGGCAUGAUUUUUGGUUUGAGACUUAAGAAUGCAGCUGCGUUAAAUACUUGCUGGGAGAGCUUUGCCGCUCUAGUGGUCAUACUCGGCUUGAAUCUGAAUUAGUCAGGGCCCAAUAUAAUUUUCGGAUAUCAAAUGAUUUAAUACACCAAAAAAUAAUGAAGAUGACUUGAUGUAUACAGAUAUCAUAAAAAUUUCCUCCAGUUUCCACUGUAUGUAACUCUCAAAGCGGUUUCUUAAUUGGUUAUUUCAAAUGUCCUUUUAGUCUCCAUUGAACCAUCGUAUCUAUCUUGCUUAUUCUCAUCUCUGGCCAACUUUCCACCUCCAAUUAACAAAAUGUCUGUAAAGUAUUUCGUGCAACUUUUAGAGUUGUGAAGAGGAAGAAGUCGAUCUACAAAUUUUUGGAUAGACGCGGAAGCAAAAAGGCAAUCAAAGUUAGUAUUAUUUCAAAUACAGUUUUCUUUUUCAUUUUUUUUUUCCUUUAACUUCUCGUUUAGCUUUCAUAAAGCUGCUAGACCUGACCUCAGCUGCCACUAAUCUUUGCUUUUGAAUGUUCUUGUAUCUUACAGAAUGUCAGCAAACGGGAUACCAGACAGGCCAUCAGAAAACGGGCUACCAGACGGGCCAUCGGACGGGCCACCACCAUUAUGUACGUCAUUAAAGAUGAGCGCCCCCCCCACCCCCCCUCCCAAAAAAACAAAAAAAAAACCAACCCGGCGACACUCCCCAACGAUUUUAACGAAGUAGAUUUUAGUUUCAUGCAUAUUUCAAGAAUACUUAUGAUGUAUUACAACUAAUUGAUGUAUGCAUGCUAUCCGUAUUUGAAUUUAAUAUAACCACAACUUGCAUGAUGGUUUUUCAAAUUAAAUACACACACGUUAUAACAUUAUUUGAUUAUUAUAUGACUGAUAUGAUACUUCUGAUUUGUUUUAAAAUUUCUAUCAUAUUUGAGGUUGUGCUCAUGCAGACAGAGGGCUGUGAUUAGUGGUAUUUAUGCACACAUGAUAGCAAAAGACAUUUGAAAGCUAAGCACAUAUAUAUCAACACAGGAUCGAAACUCAACAAACAAUAUAUUGUUGAAUGGUGCAAUAAUCGAAUUUUGAUGUUGUACUGAUCUAGGCUGUGCUGAGCAUUUAAAGUUCUUACACCGUGUGUACAACAAUAUGUUAAGCUUAACAUUAAAUGCUGUGCCAAGCAAUUAAAUUUAUUCAAUAACCAUCAAUGACAGCUCCUACAUUAUUUCACUAAUCUGAAACGCUUUUAUUAACUUGCAGUCAUAGCAGCCAUGUCGGUAAUAUUUGGACUUAUAGUAAUUAUAGUAGUAUCUUAUAUCAUCCGAUAUUUUUGGGAAAAGCUAAAUCGUACGGAAACAGAAACCCGAAAUGCUGCAUCUGCUAAUAAGCCUGAAGAGGACGUGGUUGAAGUAAUAUGGGAAGCUGGUCAAACAAUGGAGAGAUUCCUUCAAGAAAUCGGAAGGGAGAAGCCGGUCAGGUUUACUUCUCUCCAGCUCAAUAAGUUUACGAGCAAUUAUUCAACUCGGUUAGGAUUUGGAGGUUUUGGAGAAGUCUAUAAAGGACAAUUUCCUAAUGGUGUGAAAAUUGCAGUGAAGGUUCUUAAUAGGAACCUCGGCAGAAUUGCUGAAGAGCAAUUCAUGGCUGAAGUGGGAACUAUUGGAAGAACUUAUCAUAUAAAUUUGGUUAGGCUUUAUGGUUUUUGCCACGACCAACACAUGACUGCACUUGUUUAUGAGUACAUGGAAAAUGGUUCACUUGAUGGGUAUCUGUUUGGCAAGAAACGAGCAAUAGAAUGGGAGAAGUUGCACGAAAUCGCUAUAGGGACAGCGAAGGGUUUAGUUUACUUGCACGAAGAAUGCCAACAGAGAAUCAUUCAUUACGAUAUAAAGCCCGAAAAUGUUCUCUUAGAUGCAAACUUCUCUCCUAAGGUAGCAGAUUUCGGGCUUGCAAAGCUUUGUGAUAGGAACAAGACUCAUGUUACAAUAAGUGGAUAUAAGGGCACUCCUGGCUACUCUGCACCAGAAUUUUUAUCAGGGAAUUACCCUAUUACACAUAAAUGUGAUGUCUAUAGCUUUGGAAUGGUGUUGUUUGAGAUUGUUGGAAGGAGAAGAAAUGCAAUUGUUGGAGCCUCCGAGAGCCUUGAUUGGUUUCCAAAACAUGUGUGGGAUGAAUAUGAGAAAUGUGAAUUGGGUGCAAUGAUACUGGGAUGUGGGAUUGAAGAGAAAGACAAAGAAAAAGCAAAAAGAUUGUGCAUGGUGGCUUUGUGGUGUGUGCAAGACUCUCCCGAAGAUAGGCCUCCAAUGAGUGCCGUGGUCAAGAUGCUGGAGGGAGUAGUGGAAGUUUUACCGCCACCAAAACCAUUUCGCUAUUUGGACUUAAUCAAGACGACGAGGUUGAAGUCACUUGAAUCUAGUGAUGGUUUAAAUUCCUCUAAUCAGUCUCGCUGGUACAAGGAGACCACUCCAAUAAUGGCCAAGCAUGAUACAGCAUAGCUACUUGCUGAUAACAACUAAGCUUGUGCCUUGUGUUCUCCAUUCCUUGAAUUUUCCAAUACUUGUAUUUUUUUUUUUUUCAUUCAGUUUGUAAGCUAGUGCCUUGUGUUUUUCUUGUAUCCUUAGUUUUGUCUGUCAUUGUAAGUUGUAACUAAACAGUAUCAGAACCAUAAUUAGCAAUGUCUUUGAAAAUGGGAAAAGCAUUAACAAGGCGACUUUUGCUGCUGCAGCAUCUAAGCUCUCAAAAGCCAGGAUCCAGGGUCCUUGAAUUAAUUUCCCGAUUUCUCCAAUCGUCUUGUCCUCAGAAUGCCAGCAAUCCUUCCUCAAAUUUGGAACACGGGGUCACCAUCACAAACUGGCGGGCGCUCUUGGUAACCUCUUACACUUGUUAGAGAAAAGGAGAGCCUAAUUUCGCAGCUGAUUUAAUUUUACAUAAUUUGCAGUUACAAUUCUGGUACUGGUCAUCUUAGCAAUAAUAGGCGCUGUAGCUUACUGUUUGGCAAAACUAGUAAGUUCAAUAAAUGUGAACCUACAGUUCCUGAAGCAUCCUUGAAAACCGUCCAAGAUUUGAAGGAUGGUGAGCAGACAAUGGAGAAAUUCCUACGAGAUAUUCCUCUUUUCACUAGCGAGCCGUGGUGUGUUUUAUUUAUAAAAAUAAAAGUUGUGCGUCGUAAAAUCGAAUCGCCAAGGAGAUUUUAUUUUUAUUUCUAUUUUAAUGCUGCACUUUUUUUUUUUCUUCUAAAGUUAUGAUGUUUGAGCUACUCUAGCUUAGAAAUUGCCCAAAAAAAAAAAAUUCUCUUUUUUCAAUGCCGGAGGCUCUCUCCAAGUUUUUGUGUGGUUUGUUUGUAAUUGGAGUAGAGUCUUUUAGGGGUUAAGGAAUAUAUUUUUCCUGUACCAAGACAAUAUCAAAUUUUGGGUUUUUGGGGAGGAGAUUGUUGAGGUUUAUUUUUUUCCUCAAAUUUUUCUAGAAUAUCAUUAUUUUGUUUAAUAAUUUUCACUCCUUCCUACCGUAACAUAACCUUGACAUACUUGUCGAUUUAGGUAAUUGUAAGUUCUUUUUAAGAAGCUGAAACUGACAACCAAAACAAUCAUAAAGUAACCUUAAGAAACUUGUUUGCAGACAGUUUACUUGCUAUACCAAGUGGUCAUUGUUGUUUAAUCACUACAUUUGGUACCCUGCAUUAAAUCUGUUUUAAUUUUUAUGAUGGUUUGGAGCUCUUCAAGAAAAUGAAUUUUUAGUUGAUGCGCUUGAAUAAUGUGGAAAAAUAUCAUUUUUCUGCUCCUCCCUAUAAAACAGGUGGCUGGGGUUCCCGGAGUGACAGAAGCUCUAUUUCUGGCUAGACAAGCGGCACUUGCUCAAGAGAAAAAUAAGAAUGAGACCCAAAUGACGUACAGUUGUGGUCUUUGUGGUAAAGGGUACAGAAGCUCUAAGGCUCUUGCUCAGCAUCUCAACUCACGAAGCCACAUUAUGCGGGCUGCUCAAGGAACGAGUAAUGAAGAGAAGGAGAAGGUAAUAAUUAGGCCAAUUGCGCUUCGUGAUGUAAAUAAGCCUCCUCCGAAAAGAGAAGCAAACAAUGAAGAAAGUGAAGAUAGUGAUGAUGAGUGGGAAGAGGUUGGUCCAGAUGAAGUAUUGGUUAGUGAGGCCACAAAUUCUCUGACUAAUUUGAAUGUUGGGUCUCCCGCUGAUGAUGAAUUGGAGGAGGAUGACGAUGAUGGUGCCUUUGAGGAGUUCGAUCCAGCAUGUUGCUUUAUGUGUGAUCUUCCGCACGAUGCAAUUGAGAACUGCAUGGUUCACAUGCACAAGUGUCAUGGGUUCUUUAUUCCUGAUGUUGAGUAUUUGAAGGAUCCAAAAGGCCUGCUUACUUAUCUUGGUCUUAAGGUGAUUUUACAUAAAAUAAGGGAAUCCCUUACCUUAAUAAGAGACAAGAUAAAAGAUAAGAAAACUACACUACAUAUCAAAUACAUUGUGUUGGAACGAGUGUUUUUCCCCCCCUUUAGCUUGUACCUUACUUUAUUAAAGCAAUGGAUUCCCUUAUUAUAAAAUUACUCCCCACUUUUAUUCUAUGUUUUUGCUUGAUUUUAUUAGCUCGGUUAAUCAAUUUACCAUAAGCAGCUGGUGCUUUCACUUACAUGCUCUGUCUUUUCAAAAUUUUCAGGUUAAGAGGGAUUUCAUGUGUUUAUACUGCAAUGAUAGGAGCCAUCCUUUUAACAGCUUGGAAGCAGUUAGGAAGCAUAUGGAAGCAAAACGUCAUUGCAAAAUACAUUUCGGCGAUGGUGACGAGAGGAGGAGGCCGAGUUAGAAGAGUUCUAUGACUAUAGCAGCAGGUCAUUGUCUUCAAAGUUCAUCUUUCUUUUUUGUUUCUUAUUUCCUAAUUUGAUUUAUUUACUUUUCAACAAAAUAAUAAAAUUCAUUGUUCUGACAGUUACAUGGAUGAGGAUGGGAAACAGCUGAUCUCAUCCAGUGACAUGGCCAACACUGUAGAGCUUGGUGGUGGGUCUGAGCUUAUCAUAACUAGGAGAACAGAUAAAGGAACAUCGACUAAAACGUUCGGCUCCCGUGAAUAUCUGCGGUAUUAUCGCCAGAAACCCCGGCCGUCACCGGCAAAUAAUGUGGCCAUUACAGCUGCGCUGGCCUCACGGUGUGUUUUUAAUCUUUCUCAACUUGCCCUUCUAUUAAGAAGGGCAACCUGGGAAUCCCCUCUCCUUAACAUGGCAUCCUGGUAUUUUCAGGUACAAGAGCAUGGGAUUAGCAACCGUGCAAACAAGAUUACAAGAGAGCACAUGGUAAGGAUGAAGGUAAUCAAGGAGAUGAAUAGAACGGGAGUGGAGGCGAUGCGCACAAGGGUCGGCAUGAAGAAUAAUAUCAUCCGAAACCUCCCCAAGAAUGUCCCAUAUUAGUCCUAGACUUUGAUUUCUUGUUGAAUCAACAGUUUUAAGUAAACUUUUAAAUUUAAAAAAAAAAAAUUCUCAAAUGUGGUAUGGUUUUCAGUGUAAGCUCUAAUUAUUUUUUUUAUUAUGACUGUCUGGUCUACAGAUUUGUUAGUAAAAGAUUGACAUGCUCCAGUUGUUUCAUGAAAGAAUUUCAGUUUGUUUCUUCUGGCCAUCCUCCGUUGGUCCUUUCUCUUUACUUCUUAGAAUGAUUCAUUACGAUCGAGACUUUGUAGACCUCUAUUGUCUUGAGAAUGGUUAUGCUAAAUUUUCCUUUGGUUUGGUUUACCACGGUUCAUGUUGCACGUAACCGGUCAGGCGUUGUUGGAUCUUUACAUUACAUUAUACCUAAGUUUUGCCCAUUUUGAAAUGACAGUUUCCGCUCCCUGCCACUGUCCAUGAAUCUUCUUGGUUACACAAAUCUUCACUUAGUCUUCGUAGAACCUUCAUUUUUUCUCAUUCUUUCUUCUCAUCUCUAAGACUCUGACCAUCUUUCCUCAGCUAUUAUAUUUUUGCUGUAGAUACUGUAAAUUUGAAGUGUAAAUUUUAAUUUAUCCCAUAUUCUAUGUAGAAUCUUAGUUUUUAAUUUUUCUCUCAAAAGUAAGAAAACAUAAAAUUUACCUUCAUUUACUGUGUAGAAGACGAAAAAAUAAUUCAUCAACCUGCCCUCGUUUGUCAUCUGAUAAAUUUAAGAUUGUCACUAUAUUUAUGAAUUGAAUUGAAGUUUACCCAAUUUGAACUUUUGUUUGUUUUUUUAUGUUUUUAGUGUGAUGUGCGUCAUGCAACAGUACAUAAACCACCAGAGCUGCUAUAAGUCUUUGCUAAUUCUUGUAUCUUACAGAAUGUCAUCAUUUUCACCAUCAUCAAAAGAUUUUUAAAAGUUAAAAUAGAGCUCAAUUCAGCAUAGAAUCCAAAUUCAACAAAGAAGAUCCCAUUGUUGAAUGAUAAAACAGUCAGGAGGUUUAAUUUGGGGAUUAUCAAAAUGUAUUGCAAGUUCGUAUUUGAAGAAGAUUGGGAGUUGUCUUGAAAAAUAAGUUUGGGGACAGUUUAAAGACUCUUUAAUCUUUACCUCAUUUUUAAAAAUUUUUUAAAAGCCUGGUGGUUGCCUUGGCAACCCUCGGCGUGAACAUAGGUCCGCCCCUGUCUAAAAUCCUGCAUCAGUCAGUAGUAGUAGGCGGCCUUCAGUGUUAGUAGCCUGUGGUUGAUGUAAAAUAAACCUGGUUGAAGAAAGAGUGAUCUUUUGUUACAUUCUCGUACAGUCUUUUCUCAUGUGACGAUAAGAUAAAGAGAAAAUGGUAAGAAAUAACCUGAGAGUCAGAAAAUUAUAAAACUAAUUAUUUUAAUAGAAAGUUAUGUAUGCUGACUCUUAUGUUGUUAUGCAUCUCAUCACUUUUACAUUGUGCGCGGAAUGCGGAAUCAAGCGCACCAAAUAAUUACAGAAAUAUAAAAGAGACAAUUAUUUAAUGUGGUUCGGUAAUUAAACCUAUAUCCACAGAGGUAAGAAAGAAUAAUUAUUUAUUUAACAAUUAAUAAAGUACAAAUAUUUGAGUGAUUAAUCUAACUUUUCAGAAAUCCAAAUAUACCUAGUACUCUCACACUCUGCAGAAAAAAUAAAUUUCAUAGUCACGCUUCUCUCACUUCUCUAAAAAACUUAAAAACUUAUAAGCUUAACAAAUUUUAGGAUGAUUUACAAAUGAAGAAUACAUCUCUAUUUACAACCAAAAUGGUUGCACUGUUUCACCAUGAUCAAAUUAUCAAUUAAAUUCUUUAAAAUUGACAAACACAUUCAUGCGGUGCUAGCUUCCACCAAAUUGGCAAUUAUGUAUGUGACUUACCUUUUCUUUUUCAACCAAUUUAAAUAAACAACUCACCAAAACUUUUUGACUUUUCAACACGCUAUAUAGUAAUUUCUUAAUUGCUUAUUUCCCUUUCUUCUUUGACACUUCGUGUUUCUAGUUUGUUUUGCAACCACAAAAACGAAAUAAAUUGGAUACGUACAUCUUCUGCGUGUUGACUUUGAAUGAUUAAUAGCGAAAGACAAUCAAGACGUCUAUUAAUGUUAAUAAUUUCUCGAAUGACAUUAAUUUUCCACCAUAUGUCAUUCUCAAUGAAGCUUCUUGGUUAUUUAUUUCCUCUCUGCCCUUCACUGAAACUUCAUGUGCAUUAUUUCAAAAAACUUUAGCGGGCCAUACUGAUCAUCAGGUUGUGAAGAACUCAAGAACAAGUCAUUGGGUAGAAGAAAAAACGCAAUCAAAGUUUAAGUAAUGAAAUGUCAUUGUGACGUAUAUCUCAUCAAAUUAAUUGGUUGUUAAUUGUAUACCAUCUACAAGUAGGGGACUGAAAAUUUAUUGUCUUAAAUUUAUUCUCUCACUUCUCUCCAAAACUUAGAAACUUAUAAGUUUAAUAAAUUUUGGGAUGAUUUACAAAUGAAGAAUGCAUCUCUAUUUAUAACCAAAAUGAUUGCACUGCUGCACCAUAGUCAAAUUAUCAAUUAAAUCUGCAACUAAAUUCUUCAAAAUUGACAAACACAUGCAUGCGGUGCCAGCUUCCUCCAAAUUUUCAAUUAUGCUUACCUUUUUUUUUUAAUCAAUUUAAAUAAACAACUCACCAAAAAUCUUUGACUUUUCAACACUCUAUAUAGUAAAUUCUUAAUUGCUUAUUUCCCUUUCUUCUUUCACUUCAUGUUUCUAGUUUGUUUUGCAACCACAAAAACGAAAUAAAUUGGAUACGUACAUCUUCUGCGUGUUGACUUUGAAUGAUUCAUGGCGAAAGACGAUCAAGACGUCUAUUAAUGUUAAUAAUUUCUCGAAUGACAUUAAUUUUCCACUAUAUAUCAUUCUUAAUGAAGCUUCUUGGUUAUUUAUUUUCUCUCUGACCUUCACUUAAACUUCAUGUGCAUUAUUUCAAACAACUUUAGGGGGCCAUACUGAUCAUCAGGUUGUGAAGAACUCAAGAACAAGUCAUUGGGUAGAAGAAAAAACGCAAUCAAAGUUUAAGUAAUGAAAUGUCAUUGUGACGUCUAAUUCAUGAAACUAAUUGGUUGUUAGAUUUAUAUUAUCUACAUGUAGGGACUGAAAAUUAAUUGUUUUAAAUUUCGAAUGUUGGAUUAUAGAGAAUAUAAAACUAAAUACCUAAUUAUUUUGGUAUAAUAUGUGCACAUUUCUUUUGACAAUUUGGCAUUUUGUAUUAUAACGAUCAAAUAGUUAAAUUAAAUUAUAUUAAAGCAAUUUUAAUGAUCAAAGAUGAUCAACAGACCUAACAAAAGAAUGACUUAAUUGAUUAAUUAUCAAAACUAUCUCUUUAUUAUAAUUAAAAAAAGAAAAAAACUAUAUAAUUUUUUUAUUACUGACUUAACUAAGAAAAAAUAUUUAACUAAUUACCCAUACCAUAAUUAUAUAAAUUUAAACUCUAUUUGUAUAUCAUAAUAGAUUUCACAAUAAACUUGAUUUAAGAUAACUCUCAGUAGGUCUUUUAUUAUAAGAGAAAUUUUAGAGUACAUCUGUUGUACCAUGUCACCCAUACAACAAGUAAAUAAUGUCAUGACAUAUGUGUAUUUAUUUUGUAAACUAUUAUGCAAGUGGUGGUUGUAUUAAAUUCAAUUACAAAUGUUAUGCAUGCAUUAAUUAAUUGUAAUACAACAGAUGUAUUCUAAAAUUUCUCUUAUUAUAAAUAUCAAUAAACUUAUGACUGAAGUAAUCACACGUUCAAGUCUUAAAUAUGCAUGUUGACUCUGGUAAACUGAGAAGUUGACUUGAUGUAUACAGGUAUCAUUAAAAUUAAGAAACCUCUCAAAGAGGUUUUAAAUGUCCUUUCAGCCUCCAUUGAACCAUCGUAUAUAUCUAACUUAUUCUCAUCUCUGGCCAACUUUCCUUACUAAUUAAUAAACCGACUGUACAGUAUUUCACAAAACUUUUAGCUGGAGAUUACUGAGCUUAGAGUUGUGAAGAGGAAGAACUCGAUCUACAAGUCUUUGGGUAGACGCAGAAGCAAAAAGGAUAUCAAAGUUAGUAUUAUCUCAAAUACAGUUUUCUUUUUCUUUUCUUUUUUAGCUAAACUUCUCUUUUAGCUUUCAUAAAACUGCUGGACCUGACCUCAGUUGCCACUAAUCUUUGCUUUUGAAUGUUCUUGUAUCUUACAGAAUGUCAGGAAACGAGAUAUCAUACGGGCAUCGAAUGUGUAAGUCAUUAAAGAUGCGGCCCCCACACGGCCAAUCUCCCCCCCCCCCCCCCCCCCCCCCCCAAACAAAGAAAAAAAACAACAAAAAAAAUCACGAAAAAAAAAAAACCAACCCCGCGACACCCCCCAACGAUUGUAACGAAGUAGAUUUUAGUUUCAUGCGUAUUUGAGGUUGUGCUCAGGCAGACACAGGGCUGUGAUUAGUGGUAUUUAUUCACACAUGAUAGCAAAAGCACAUAUUUAUCAACACAGGAUCGACAAUUCAACACACAAUAUAUUGUUGAAUGGUGUAAUAAUCGAAUUUUGAUGUUGUACUGAUCUAAGUUGUGCUAAGCAUUUAAAGUUAUUACACCGUGUGUACGAUAAUAUGCUAAGCUUAACAUUAAAUGCUGUGCUAAGCAAUUAAAUUUAUUCAAUGGCAGUUCCUAUAUUAUUUCACUAAUCUGAAACGCUUUUAUUAAUUUGCAGUCACAGUUGUAAUCACAGCAACCAUGUCGGUAAUGCUUGGACUUAUGGUAAUUUCAGUAGUAUUUUCUAUCAUCGGAUGUUUUUUGGAAAUGCUAAAUCCUACGGAAACAGAAACCCGAAAUGCUGCGUCUGCUAAUAAGCCUGAAGAGGACGUGGUUGAAGUAAUAUGGGAAGCUGGUCAAACGAUGGAGAGAUUCCUUCAAGAAAUCGGAAGGGAGAAGCCGGUCAGGUUUACUUCUCUCCAGCUCAAUAAUUUUACAAGCAAUUAUUCAACUCGGUUAGGAUUUGGAGGUUUUGGAGAAGUCUAUAAAGGACAAUUCCCUAAUGGCGUGAAAAUUGCAGUGAAGGUCCUUAAUAGGAACCUAGGCAGAAUUGCUGAAGAGCAAUUCAUGGCUGAAGUGGGAACUAUUGGAAGAACUUAUCAUAUAAAUUUGGUUAGGCUUUAUGGUUUUUGCCACGACCAACACAUGACUGCACUUGUUUAUGAGUACAUGGAAAAUGGUUCACUUGAUGGGUAUCUGUUUGGCAAGAAACAAGCAAUAGAAUGGGAGAAGUUGCACGAAAUCGCUAUAGGGACAGCCAAGGGUUUAGUUUACUUGCACGAAGAAUGCCAACAGAGAAUCAUUCAUUACGACAUAAAGCCCGAAAAUGUUCUCUUAGAUGCAAACUUCUCUCCUAAGGUAGCAGAUUUCGGGCUUGCAAAGCUUUGUGAUAGGAACAAGACUCAUGUUACAAUUAGUGGAUAUAAGGGCACCCCUGGCUACUCUGCACCAGAAUUCUUAUCAGGGAAUUACCCAAUUACACAUAAAUGUGAUGUCUAUAGCUUUGGAAUGGUGUUAUUUGAGAUUGUAGGAAGGAGAAGAAACGCAAUUGUUGGAUCCUCGGAGAGCCUUGAUUGGUUUCCAAAACAUGUGUGGGAAGAAUAUGAGAAAUGUGAAUUGGAUGCAACGAUACUGGCAUGUGGGAUUGAAGAGAAAGACAAAGAGAAAGCAAAAAGAUUGUGUAUGGCAGCUUUGUGGUGUGUGCAGGACUCUCCGGAAGAUAGGCCUCCAAUGAGUGCCGCGGUCAAGAUGCUGGAGGGAGUAGUGGAAGUUUUACCGCCACCGAAACCAUUUCGCUACUUGGACUUAAUCAAGAUGACGGGGUUGAAGUCACUUGAAUCUAGUGAUGGUUCAAAUUCCUCGAAUCGGUCUCGCUGGUACAAGGAGACCACUCCAAUAAUGGCCAAGCAUGAAAUACAAAUAGCUACUUGCUGAUAAUAACUAAGCUUGUGCCUUGUGCUCUCCAUUCCUUGAAUUUUCCAAUACUUGUAUUUUUUUUUUAUUCAGUUUGUAAGCUAGUGCCUUGUGUUCUUCUUGUAUCCUUAGUUUUGUCUGUCAUUGUAAGUUGUAACUAAGCAGUAUCAGAACCAUAAUUAGCAGUGUCUGAUUUUGAUUCUAAUGUUAAUUAAUUUCCCGAUUUCUCCAAUAUCCUUGUCCUCAGAAUGCCAAUAAUCCUUCCUUCCUCAAACUUGGAACACGGGUCACCAUCAUAAACUGGCGGGCGCUCUUGGUAACCUCUUACACUUGUUUGAGAAAAGUAGAGCCUAAUUUCGCAGCUGAUUUAAUUUUACAUAAUUUGCAGUUACAAUUCUGGUACAGGUCAUCUUAGCAAUAAUAGGCGCUGUAGCUUACUAUUUGGCAAAACUAGUAAGUUCAAAAGAUGUCAAAAGGACGAGAACCUACAGUUCCCGAAGCAUCCUUGAAAACCGUCCAAGAUUUGAAGGAUGGUGAGCAGACAAUGGAGAAAUUCCUGCGAGAUAUUGCAAGGGAGAAAUUCCUGCGAGAUAUUCCUCAUUUCACUAGCGAGCCGUCGCGUGUUUUAUUUAUAAAAAUAAAAGUUGUGCGUCGUAAAAUCGAAUCGCCAAAGAGAUGAAAGAACACAACAUGCGGGGCUGAACUGCAAUGCAUGUAACAGAGAAUUCAAUGACUACGCCCAGCAGAAGCUUCACUACAAGUCCGAUUGGCACCGCUACAAUCUCAAACGCAAGGUCUCUCUCUCUCUUUAACUUUUAAUUUUCAGUUUCCUUCUCGUUAAAAUUUUAUGAGAUUAAGUGCUUCUGCUUGGCGGCGGUACUUUGUUGAAGAAGUAUGUAUCUUACAAGAAUUGCUUGUCCAAAAAGUGCUUCUGUAAAUUGAAUGUUUUUUAGCCAAAACAGGCAAAUAAAAAUUUGUGUUCGGCCAUCUGGUAGAGCAUUAGGCCCAUAAUUGCAUACAUAGAUUCGUAUAGAAGAUAAUAAAAUAUAUGAAAGGCAAUUACAUUAGCAAUAUGCGAAUGCUAGAACUUUUUAUUUUUAUUUUUAUUUCUAUUUAAUGCCGCUCUGUUUUUAAAAGUUAUGAUGCCUGAGCUACUCUAGCUUAGAAAUUGCCAAAAAAAUCUCUUUUUUCAAUGCCAGAGGCUCUCUCCAAGUUCUUGUGUGGUUUGCUUGUAGGAGUAGAGGCUUUUGGGGAUUAAGAAAACAUAUUUUUCCUGUACUAGGACAAUAUCAAAUUUUGGGCUUUUGGGAGAGAAGAUUGUUGAGAUUUGGUUUUUUUGCUCGAAUUUUCUAGAAUAUUAUUAUUUUGUUUAAUAAUUUUAACUCUUUCCUGCCGUAACAUAACCCUAACAAACUUGUUGAUUUAGGUUAUUGUAAGUUCUUACUAAGAAGCUGAAAGUAUGUUUUAACUUUUAUGAUGGUUUGGAGCUCUUCAAGAAAAUGAAUUUUUAGUUGAUGGGAUUGAAUAAUAUGGAAAAAAAAAUCCUUUUUCUGCUCCUCCCUGUAAAACAGGUGGCUGGGGUUCCCGGAGUGACAGAAGCUCUAUUUCUGGCUAGACAAGCCGCACUUGCUCAAGAGAAAAAUAAGAAUGCGACCCCAAUGACCGACAGUUGUGGUCUUUGUGGAAAAGGGUAUAGAAGCUCUAAGGCUCUUGCUCAGCAUCUCAACUCACGAAGCCACAUUGUGCGGGCUGCUCAAGGAACGAGUAAUGAAGAGAAGGAGAAGGUAAUAAUUAGGUCAAUUCCGCUUCGUGAUGUAAAGAAGCCUCCUCCGAAAAGAGAAGCAAACAAUGAAGAAAGUGAAGAUAGUGAUGAUAAGUGGGAAGAGGUUGGUCCAGAUGAAGUAUUGGUUAGUGAGGCCACAAAUUCUGUGACUAAUUUGAAUGUUGGGUCUCCCGCUGACGAUGACGUGGAGGAGGAUGACGAUGACGUGGAGGAGGAUGACGAUGAUGGUGCCUUUGAGGAGUUCGAUCCAGCAUGUUGCUUCAUGUGUGAUCUUCCGCGGUCCGCACGAUACAAUUGAGAACUGGAUGGUUCACAUGCACAAGUGUCAUGGGUUCUUUAUUCCUGAUGUUGAGUAUUUGAAGGAUCCAAAAGGCCUGCUUACUUAUCUUGGUCUUAAGGUUGAUUUUACAUAAAAUAAGGAAAUCUCUUACCUUAAUAAGAGACAAGCUAAAAGAUAAGAAAACUACACUUCAGAAUAAAAUACACUGUGUUGGAAUGAGUGUUCCCCCUUUAGCUUGUCCCUUACUUUAUUAAAGUAAUGGAUUCCCUUAAUAUAAAAUUACUCCCCACUUUUAUUCUAUGUUUUUGCUUGAUUUUAUUAGCUCGGUUAAUCAAUUUACCAUAAGCAGCUGUUGGUUUCACUUACAUGCUCUGUCUUUUCAAAAUUUUCAAGUUAAGAGGGAUUUCAUGUGUUUAUACUGCAAUGAUAGGUGCCAUCCUUUUAACAGCUUGGAAGCAGUUAGGAAGCAUAUUGUCACGGGAUGAGUAUUUUGCGCAGCUAACCCGUGCGGCACUUAGACAACUUUGCCGAAUGUUGCUAAGUAAGCCUAGAGCUUCUCGAACUAGAGAAGAGAGCAAUGGAGCCGAAUAAGAAAACUUGUAUUGCACAAAGAGAGAUUAUAAUGCUUGAGUUGCUUACAAAGCUUGUUGUUGUGUUUUGUUCGAUACAAAUGCCUAAUGACAUCCCAUAUUUAUAGGGGAGGCUUGCCAAGCUCUAGAGAUUCUAGAGAAUUCUACAAUUUCCUAGCUAUUUACAUGUGUUGGAAUUGUAUAGAGAAUUCUAGAGUAUUUACAAGCUCAAAUGUGCUAGAGUUGCCUAGAAGUUUCCGGAAUUGGGCCAAGCUAGCACUCUUGGCCUUGUGUUGGCUCUCCAGCCCGAAAUUGUGGGCAAUUGGGCUGGCGAAUUGGGCGGUCCGCAACAUCCUCCCCCACCUAAGCUCGCGGCGUCCUCGUCGCGCUCUCGUGCUUGAAGUGUUGGAUGUGCUCAGCGAAUUGCCACAAAUCAUCUUCACGUUCCCAAGUGGCUUCGCUCUCGGGGAGGUUUUUCCACUUCACCAAGUACUCGCUAUGUGCUGGCACGCCCCUCCUCGAAACCACGCGGUCCGCAAUGAUGUAGUCUACAUCUUUGUCGAACGCGGUGACAACGGCGGUUGGCGCGCGCCUCGAUUCUCCGCGACUUGGGUCUCCCAUGUCUUCGUGAUAUGGCUUGAGAAGGCUCACAUGGAAGACCGGAUGGAUCUUGAGUCUUGGCGGAAGUUGGAGUUGAUACGAGACGUUGCCCACACGUCGAACAACUCGGAAGGGUCCCUCGUAGCGCCUCACUAACCCCUUGUGGACUUUCCGCAAUGUUUUGAAUUGUUGGGGUAGGAGUUUGAUCAUGACUUGAUCACCUUCCUUGUACUCAACAUGCCGUCUCCUUGUAUCCGCCCAUUUCUUCAUUUUCCUCGCGGCUUUGUCGAGGUAGGCUCGCGUGAUGUCCGCUUCCUCAUGCCAUUCGCGGGCGAGCUUGUGUGUCGCGGGGCUUUUCCCUCCGUAAGUUGAGGCUAUGGCAUUGGGGGUCAUGGGCUGGAAUCCCAUGAUGAUCUCGAAUGGACUCUUGCCCAUAGCCUCACUUCGCUGCAAGUUAUAAGAAAAUUGGGCGAUGUCGAGUAGCUUCGCCCAAUCCCGCUGAUGAGCGCUCACAUAAUGCCUCAAGUACAUCUCGAGGAGGCCAUUAAUGCGCUCGGUCUGCCCAUCCGUUUGGGGGUGGAAGCUUGUCGAGAACUUGAGAUCGGUCCCCAACAUCUUGAAGAGCUCCGUCCAAAAACGCCCAGUGAACCGAGGAUCUCGGUCACUCACAAUGCUCUUUGGAACUCCCCAAAGCUUCACAAUGUGCUUGACGAAUAGGCGGGCUGCCUCGUCCGCUUUGCAGUCGACGGGUGCGGCAAUGAAUGUGGCAUACUUGCUGUAUCGGUCUACAACGACCAUGAUGCUUCCACAACCCUCGGACUUGGGCAGCGAUGUGAUGAAGUCCAUGGAGACACUUUCCCAUGGCCUUGUUGCUAGCGGCAGCGGCUCCAAUAAUCCCGCUGGGAGUUGAUGAUCCACCUUGUCUUGUUGGCACACAAGACAAGUUCGCACAUAUGCUUCGAUGUCGUCCCUCAUGUGCGGCCAAAAAUAUGAGGCUUGGACUAGUGCGGUGGUGCGCUCAAUUCCUGGGUGACCAGCCCACUUGGAGUCGUGGCACUCCUUGAUUACUUCCUUCCGCAAGUUUCCCCACCUUGGCACGAACAGCCGAUCUCCCUUGGUGAGGAGGAUGCCUUCCUCUUGCCAAAAUCGCCUUGUCUUUCCCUCGAGUACCUUCUCCAGCAAGUCCUUUGCUAGCGGAUCUUGUUGGAGGCCUUCCUUGAUGCGUGAGACAAGGUCAGACUUCGGUUGGCUCAUGCUAAGUGUCACCAAUUCGGCCUUGCGGCUUAGAGCGUCCGCAACGACAUUGGCUUUACCAGGUUUGUACUCGAGCCGAUAGUCGAAUUCCGCAAGGAAAUCUUGCCAUCGUGCUUGCUUCGGACUCAACUUCUUUUGCGUUUGAAAGUAGCUCGUCGCUACGUUGUCCGUCAUGAUCGUGAAGUGAGAGCCUAGCAAGUAGUGUCGCCACACUCUUAGACAAUGGAUGAUGGCUGUCAUCUCCUUCUCUUGCACCGUGUAGCGGCGUUCCGUAUCAUUUAGCUUUCGACUUUCGAACGCUAUGGGGUGGCCUUCUUGCAUGAGGACUCCUCCUAUGGCGAAAUCCGAGGCAUCUGUUUGAACUUCGAAGGGCUUUGUGUGAUCCGGAAGGGCAAGGAUGGGUUCCUCCGAAAUUGCUCUUUUCAACUCAUCGAAUGCGCGUUGGCACUUUUCGGACCAAUGCCACGUUCUGUUUUUCUUGAGCAUAUCUGUUAAGGGUACUGCCUUGGCCGAAUAGCCCUUGAUGAAGCGACGGUAGUAAUUCACCAUCCCAAGGAAUGAGCGAAGCUCGGGUACUUUCGAGGGAGGCUCCCAAUCGAGGAUGGCCUUUACUUUGAUGUUCUCCAUCAUAAUCUUCCCGCCCGCAAUCUUGUGGCCAAGGAACUCCACCUCUUGUUGGGCAAACGAGCACUUCUCCAAUUUGAGGAAGAGCUCGUUGUCUCAAAGUACUUGGAGGACUUGUCGCAAAUGUUGGGCAUGCUCCUCGAGUGUGGUGCUAUACACCACGAUGUCAUCCAAGUACACGACCACGAAGCGGUCGAGGAAUGGUUGGAGUACCUUGUUCAUGAGUGUGCAAAAUGUGGCGGGUGCGUUGGUAAGGCCAAAAGGCAUCACAAGGAAUUCGAAAGAGCCGUACCUUGUUGUGCACGCCGUCUUCGGUUCAUCUCCUUUGGCGAUGCGCACUUGAUAGUACCCGGAGCGUAAGUCAAGUUUGGUGAAGUACCGCGCUUUGCCAAGCUGGUCGAACAAGUCCGCAAUCAAUGGAAUCAGAUACUUGUUCUUGAUGGUGAUCUUGUUGAGCGCUCUAUAGUCGAUGCACAUCCGCAGCGAUCCAUCAUUUUUCUUUUGGAAGAGCACGGGUGCACCGAAUGGGGCCUUUGAGGGGCGGAUGUAGCCUGCGUCCAGCAAGUCUUUGAGUUGUCUCUGCAACUCCUCUAAUUCGGGUGGCGCCAUGCGGUAGGGCGCCAAGGCUGGUGGCUUCGCGCCUUGUUCCAGCUCGAUCGCAUGAUCUACCUCUCACCGAGGUGGGAGCUUCUUUGGAAGUUCCGGAGGCAUCACAUCCUUGUAUUCAUUGAGGACGGCUUGAAUUCGCAGAGGGACUUGGCUUGGCGACGUUCCGCUAUUUCGUUCCUCGUUUAGUUCCCGUAUAGAGACCAAGAAGCUUGGGUCCUUCUUGAAAGCCCUUUUGAAUUGCAUGGCGGAGAGUGUCUUCUCCUCGGACUUGCCUCGCUCCGUGGGUACCAUGCAUGCUUUGCUCCCGUCGAGGAUGCUUAGGGAGUUUGUAGCGGGCAGCGGGAAGGCAUGGACUUGGUCGAAGAAUUCCAUGCCGAGGACCAUCUUGAAGUCGUCCAUGGGAACGAUGGAGAAAUCAAGCUUUCCGCUCCACGUACCGAGUGUGAUGUGCACGCCUUGUGCGAUUCCCGCAAUUGGCUUGGCGGGUGAGUUUACCGCUUUCAUCGUGCCUCCUUCCUUGGUGGCCUUGAGGCCUAAGCGCUUGGCCUCGUCUACGGACACGAAAUUGUGCGUUGCUCCCGUGUCUAGUAGCACGCGGACGGACUGGCCGUUUAUCUUCGCGCUUACAUACAUGAGCCCUUUCUUGACGAGUGCGGGCUGUUGGCGGUUGAGUGCGCCAAGACGUUGGAGAGAACCCAUACCGAGUUGGGGUUCUUUCGUGGACAUUGUGGGGUUGCUCUUAAGUUGGGCAGCAAGAGCGUUGAGCGACUUCUUCUCCGGACAGUCGCGUACCCAAUGAGGACCAUUGCAUAUGAAGCAUGGGCUUCGCGGCUUUGGUACCUCCUUCUUGCCCUCCGAUUUUCCUUGCCCGCUCUUGUUGCUAGGCGGCUUUUUCUGCCCCCAAUCCUUGCGGUUGUUGCCCUUGUCCUUGCGACUCUCUCCCCCACCUUUGCCUUGGUUGGCCUUUUUGUCCUUGGAUUGGGUAGAGUAUUCGGUGAGCGAUUCCGCAACGGCAAUGGCGUCGUCAAGUGUUUGAACACCACACCUAUCCAGCUCGGUCUUGGCCCAAUCCUUGAGGCCAUCUUGGAAGUAGAAGAGUGAAUCCUUGUCGGACAUGUCGCUUAUCUCCAACAUAAGGGUAGUGAACUCGUUGAUAUAGUCCCGAAUGCUACCCGAUUGCUUGAGGCGAUGUAAGCGCGCUCGCGCUUCCUUCUCCGCAUUGCUUGGGGCGAACUGCUUUCGGAGUUCUUGCUUGAAGUCGGCCCAAGUGUCGAUGGUGCAAAUGCCCUUGCCCAUCUCGCCAUGCUUGCGACGCCACCAUAGUUGUGCAGCGCCUCGAAGAUAGGUGGGUGCAGUGCCCACUUUUGAUGCCUCGUCUCGUACACCCAUGGCAUCGAAGUAUUGAUCAAGACCAAAGAGGAAAUUGUCCACGACUGUGGCAUUGCGUGUGCCAUCGUAAGUGUCAGGCUUUGGCACGUCGAUGCGGCGCGCAUCACUCGAGUUUGCAGAAGCUGGACUUGCGGAGAGUGUGCGCUUGUGCCAUGCCCAAUCCGAGCGGACUUCAUCCACUUCCGCACGGACAGCGCGUAGUUCGUCCUGAACAAAACUACGAAGUUUAAGCAACUCAUCAUGGAAAGAACGAAACUCACCUCGGAGAGUGUUCGCUUGCUCUUGGAUGAGAGCCUUUGUGGCCACCGUGAACUCGGCGUAUUCUCCCUCGAGACCGUCCACUCGUUCCUCCAAUCCCUCGAGGCUAUCUUGAGCGGCGGACAAUGCGAUUUCGAGAGUAGUCACACGAGGCUCCAACGCAUCCACGGAUGGGGCCUUGGACUUGCCACGAGUCUUGCCUUGGGCGCGUUCUCCCUCUCGGCCGCGGCUUAGUUCCGGUGGAACAUCCACACCAACAACACCCUCUUGUACUACGUUCGAAGGGUUGGCCAUUGCUUCGUGAGCUAACUUGCGUGCGUGCAAAACUUAGCUCUGAUACCACUUGUCACGGGAUGAGUAUUUUGCGCAGCUAACCCGUGCGGCACUUAGACAACUUUGCCGAAUGUUGCUAAGUAAGCCUAGAGCUUCUCGAACUAGAGAAGAGAGCAAUGGAGCCGAAUAAGAAAACUUGUAUUGCACAAAGAGAGAUUACAAUGCUUGAGUUGCUUACAAAGCUUGUUGUUGUGUUUUGUUCGAUACAAAUGCCUAAUGACAUCCCAUAUUUAUAGGGGAGGCUUGCCAAGCUCUAGAGAUUCUAGAGAAUUCUACAAUUUCCUAGCUAUUUACAUGUGCUGGAAUUGUAUAGAGAAUUCUAGAGUAUUUACAAGCUCAAAUGUGCUAGAGUUGCCUAGAAGUUUCCGGAAUUGGGUCAAGCUAGCACUCUUGGCCUUGUGUUGGCUCUCUAGCCCGAAAUUGUGGGCAAUUGGGCUGGCAAAUUGGGCGGUUCGCAACAAUAUGGAAGCAAAACGUCAUUGCAAAAUACAUUUCGGCGAUGGUGAUGACCACGAGGAGGCCGAGUUAGAAGAGUUCUAUGACUAUAGCAGCAGGUCAUUGUCUUUAAAGUUCAUCUUUCUUUUUUGUUUCUUCUUUCCUAAUUUGAUUUAUUUACUUUUCAACAAAAUAAUAAAAUUCUUUGUUCUGACAGUUACAUGGAUGAGGAUGGGAAACAGCUGAUCUCAUCCAGUGACAUGGCCAACGCUGUAGAGCUUGGGGGUGAGUCUGAGAUUAUCAUAACUAGGAGAACAGAUAAAGGAAGAUCGACUAAAAUCUUCGGCUCCCGUGAGUAUCUGCGGUAUUAUCGCCAGAAACCCCGUCCGUCACCGGCAAAUAAUGUGGCCAUUACAGCUGCGCUGGCCUCACGGUGUGUUUUUAAUCUUUCUCAACUCGCCCUUCUAUUAAGAAGGGCAACCUGGGAAUCCCCUCUCCUUAACAUGGCAUCCUGUAUUUUUCAGGUACAAGAGCAUGGGAUUAGCAACCGUGCAAACAAGAGAGCACAUGGUGAGGAUGAAGAUAAUCAAGGAGAUGAAUAGAACGGGAGUGCAGGCAAUGCGCACAAGGGUCGGCAUGAAGAAUAAUAUCAUCCGAAACCUCCCCGGAAUGUCCCAUAUUAGUCCUAGACUUUGAUUUCUUGUUGAAUCAUCAGUUUUAAGUAAACUUUUAAUUUUUUUUUUUUUUAAAAAAAAAAAAUCUCAGAUAUGGUAUGGUUUUUAGUGUAAGCUCUUAUUUUUCUUUUUAUUAUGACUGUCUGGUCUACAGAUUUGUUAGUAAAACAUUGACAUGCUCCAGUUGUUUCAUGAAAGAAUUUUCAGUUUGUUUGUUUUGGUCAUCCUCCACUGGUCCUUUCUCUUCACUUGUUAGAAUGAUUCAUUACGAUCAAGACUUUCGCAGACCCCUCUAUUGUCUUAAUUGCUU
This 23036-nucleotide long non-coding RNA is filed under the name Citrus maxima (pomelo). Its description in RNAcentral is "long non-coding RNA (CMAX_LNC001656)". The record is from RNAcentral. Lineage: Eukaryota; Viridiplantae; Streptophyta; Magnoliopsida; Sapindales; Rutaceae.